Long non-coding RNA from Salvia hispanica, 349 nucleotides. RefSeq lists it as uncharacterized. Lineage: Eukaryota; Viridiplantae; Streptophyta; Magnoliopsida; Lamiales; Lamiaceae. The record is from RefSeq and is a predicted model, not a curated record.
CAUAUUUGGUUGCCAGCUCCAUCUCUUUCUUGGCACCAUGCUUCUUUACUUAAUUGAGCAAAUCUUGGGGGCAAAGACUCCUACAUUUGGGGCUGCCAGCUUAUCUCUUCCUUGUGUUUAUCCAAUUGUAUACCAUUUUGGUAUUCUUGCAAGAUCCUUGGUGUUAUUGGCUGCCAAUUUUGGAGUCUUAUGAGAUGCCAAAUUCGAGAAGGAUGGGGAAGAAAAGAGAAAGAGUAGAAGAUCUUGUACUAUAGAAAUGUAUCUUUGAAAGAAAUCUCACUUAUAGCUCCAUGUAUCCAAUUCGUAUAGCUUGUGUUGUACUUUGUACUAAUUUAUUCUCUUUUCCUCA